RNAcentral lists this long non-coding RNA (4582 nucleotides) under Homo sapiens (human). Its description in RNAcentral is "HSALNT0111348". The record is from RNAcentral. Lineage: Eukaryota; Metazoa; Chordata; Mammalia; Primates; Hominidae.
GCGCAGCGGAAUUUGAAGAAUUUUUACAGGAAAUUUCUGUAAUGGACAACGAAAGCUUUUCCUUGGGCUGGAGGAUACCAUCAAAGUAAAGUCAUGCUAAUGAAGAUAUGUUAAAGAUUUGCUAAUGAAGGUAGGGAAAUCCUGUUAACUAGAUUGUAAGGCAGGUUUGGGUUCUAAGUAUCCAGGCUGAGUAUGGGAGCCAGUGGGUUCUGUUCUCACUACUAUAUCCCCAUUUUACAUUUAGGAGACCUUGGGUUCAGACCCCUCUGAAUUUGUAACGUGUUCGAAGUUACUUGUAACUUUGAAGUAACUUGUUCAAAGUCACAAAUCUAGUCAGAUGAAAUAGUACAGUGGUUAAGAGCAUGGGUUCUGGAAUUAAACUGUUUGGGAUCUUAUGCAAGUUUAGAAAGUUACUUAAUUACUCUGUGCCUCAGUCUUAUCAUCCAUAAAAUGGGGGUUCUAAUGGUAGCUAGCACAUAGAAUUGUGAUGAGAAUUAAAUGCAUUAACACCUGAAAAGCGUUUAGCACAGGCUCUGACAUUGUGCUCCAAAAAUGACAGCUAGCAGUAGUAAUAGUUGCACAAUAGUAAAAGUGGUAGUAGUAAUAAUAAUAAGUGUAGACCAGGGUUUGAACCAGUUUUGUUGGACUCCAGUGCAGAAUUGGCUACAGAAUUUGCCCAGUGCAAAAUUAAAAUGCAGGACCUUGUGUCCAAAAGUUAUCAAGAAUUUCAAGGGAGCAACAGUAGUGCAUUAAAUUAAACAUAGGAUCCUUCUAAACAUCCAGCCCUGUACGCAUGCACAAGUCACAUGCCCAUGAAACUGGCUCUGCUCCAGGGCACUUUCAAGGAAAAUCUAUUAUCCUCUUAACUAGUGUUAAAUAAAAUCUAUGGGAGCCCACUAAUUUGGACUGAGCUGCUGCAUUAGGCCCCAACAUAUGAACCCAAGAUGGAGUCACCUGUGCUAAGAUUCCAUGUCACCAAACUGAAACCUAACCUGUUUACUUGUAAGAUCUGACCUUCCUUGGGCGUGAUGGCUCACACCUAUAAUCCCAGCACUUUGGGAGGCCAAGGCAGGUGGAUUGCCUCAGCUCAAGAGUUUCAUGCGCGUCCGUGUAAAGAGACCACCAAACAGGCUUUGUAUGAGCAACAUGGCUGUUUAUUUCACCUGGGUGCAGGCGGGCUGAGUCCGAAAAGAGAGUCAGCGAAGGGAGAUAGGGUGGGGCCGUUUUAUAAGAUUUGGGCAGGUAAAGGAAAAUUACAGCCAAAGGGGGUUUGUUCUUUGGCGGGCAGGAGUGGGGGUCACAAGGUACUCAGUGGGGGAGCUUUUGAGCCAGGAUGAACCAGGAGAAGGAAUUUCACAAGACAAUGUCAUCAGUUAAGGCAGGAACAGGCCAUUUUCACUUCUUUUGUGGUGGAAUGUCAUCAGUUAAGGCAGGAACUGGCCAUCUGGAUGUGUACUUGCAGGUCACGGGGAUAUGAUGGCUUAGCUUGGGCUCAGAGGCCUGACAUUCCUGUCUUCUUAUAUUAAUAAGAAAAAUAAAAUGAAACAGUGGUAAAGUGUUGGGACGGUGAAAAUUUUUUUGGGGUGGUAUGGAGAGAUAAUGGGCGAUGUUUCUCACGGCUGCUUCGAGCGGGAUUAGGGGCGGCGUGGGAACCUAGAGUGGGAGAGAUUAAGCUGAAGGAAGAUUUUGUGGUAAGGGGUGAUAUCGUGGGGUUGUUAGAAGAAACAUUUGUCAUUUAGAAUUAUUGGUGAUGGCCUGGAUACAGUUUUGUGUGAAUUGAAAAACUAAACGGAAUAAGAGAAGGAGAAAAACAGGUAUUAAAGGACUAAGAAUUGGGAGGACCUAGGACAUCUAAUUAGGAAGUGCCUAAGGAGGUUCAGCAUAAUCCUGUCAGCUAAGAUUAUUUAUUUACUUCAAGAGUUAAGAGUGGCAGUUUGGGGAUAGCACCAGGAAAUAUCAGCUGUGAUGGCUUGGAGAAACAGUGUAAACCGGCAGUGUAAACAAGAGCAGGGCAUGUAUGAGUAGUUGAGAAGGGUGAAUAGGAGUAUGACUACAGAGAAGAUAGGAGGGAUGACAAGUUUUUUUGGGGCACAGUCUAAGUUAGUCUGGUGUCUGGAAUGAGACUGGGGCCUACUAAAAAAGAGCAUCUAUACAAGAGCUCAAAUGGGCUGUACCCUGUAGCAUUCCAAGGACAGGUCUGACUUCUGAGAAGGGAAAGUGGUAAAAGUAUUCUCCAGUCCUUUUUAAGUUGGUGGCUGAGCUUUGUGAGGUGUGUUUUUAAAAGACCUUUAGUCCGUUCUACUUUUCCUGAAGAUGGAGGACCGUAAGGGAUAUAAAGGUUUCACUGAAUACUAAGAGCCUGAAAAACUGCUUGGCUGAUUUGACUAAUAAAGGCUGGUCUGUUAUCAGACUGUAUAGAGGUGGGAAGGCUAAACUGAGGAAUUAUGUCUGACAGAAGGGAAGAAAUGACCGUGGUGGCCAUCUCAGACCCUGUAGGAAAGGCCUCUACCUAUCCAGUGAAAGUGUUUACCUAGACUAAGAGGUAUUUUAGUUAUCUGACUCGGGGCAUGUUGAGUAAAGCUAAUUUGCCAGUCCUGGGUGGGGGCAAAUCCUCGAGCUUGAUGUGUAGGGAAGGGAGGGGGCCUGAAUAAUCCCUGAGGAGUAGUAGAAUAGCAGAUGGAACACUGAGAAGUUAUUUCCUUGAGGAUAGAUUUCCACGAUGGAAAGAAAAUGAGAAGUUCUAAGAGGUGAGCUAGUGGCUUGUACUAUAGCAUAGCCUGCCUUUGCUGGUGUGUGGCUAUUAGGCCUGGUGGAACUGCCAUCAAUAGAUAAGCAUGAUCAGGGUGAGGAACAGGAAAGAAGGAAAUAUGGGGAAAUGGGGUGAAUGUCAGGUGGAUCAGAGAGGUACAGUCAUGAGGCUCAGGUGUGGUAUCCAGAAUAAUGUGGGAGGCCGGAUUGAAGUCCGGGCCAGGAACAAUGGUAAUUGUGGGACUUAAAGAGUGAGUACAGCUGAAGGAGCCAGGGAGCAGAAAGUAUAUGCAUCAGGUAUGAGGAAGAAAAUAGAUUUUGGAAGUUAUGAGAAAUGUAGAGAGUAAGUUGAGCAUAGUUUGUGAUUUUGAGGGCCUCUAAAAGUAUUAGGGCCUUUAAAAGUAUUAGGGCGGCAGCAGCCACUGCACGCAGACAUGAGGGCUAGGCUAAAACAGUAAGGUCAAGUUGUUUGCACAGAAAGGCUACAGAGUGAGGUCCUGGCUCUUGUGUAAGAAUUCUGACCACACUAACCAUGCCUAGGAGGAAAGGAUUUGUUGUUUUGUAAGGGAUUGAGGUUUGAGAGAUUAAUCGGACACGAUCAGCAGGGAGAGCACGUGUGUUUUUAUGAGAAUUAUGCUGAGAUAGGUAACAGAUAAGGAAGAAAUUUGGGCUUGACUGAAGUAAUGGGGGCUGUCUGUGAAGCUCUGUGGCAGUACGGCCCAGGUAAUUUGCUGAGCCUGAUGGGUGUCAGGGUCAGUCCAAGUGAAAGUGAAGAGAGGCUGGGAUGACAGGUGCAAAGGAAUAGUAAAGAAAGCAUGUUUGAGAUCCAGAACAGAAUAAUGGAUUGUGGAGGAAGGUAUUGAGGAUAGGAGAGUAUAUGGGUUUGGCAUCAUGGGGUGGAUAGGCAAAACAAUUUGGUUGAUAAGGCAUAGAUCCUGAACUAACUUGUAAGGCUAGUCUGGUUUUAGGACAGGUAAAAUGGGGGAAUUGUAAGGAAAGUUUAUAGGCUUUAAAAGGCCAUGCUGUAGCAGGCAAGUGAUAGCAGGCUUUAAACCUUUCAAAGCAUGCUGCGGGAUGGGAUAUUGGCAUUGAUCAGGGUAAGGGUGAUUAGGUUUUAAUGAGAUAGUAAGGGGUGCAUGAUCGGUCGCCAAGGAGGGAGUAGAGGUAUCUUAUACUUGUGGGUUAAGGUGGGGGAAUACAAGAGGAAGACACAAAGGAGGCUUUGGAUUGGGAAGAAGGGUGGCAAUGAGAUGCAGCUGUAAUCCAGGAAUAGUCAGGGAAGCAGAUAAUUUAGUUAAAGUGUCUCGGCCUAAUAAGGGAACUGGGCAGGUGGGGAUAACUAAAAAGGAGUGCUUAAAAGAGUAUUCUCUAAGUUGGCACCACAGUUGGGGAGUUUUAAGAGGUUUAGAAGCCUGACUGUCAAUACCCACAACAGUUAUGGAGGCAAGGGAAACAGGCCCUUGAAAAUAAGGUAAUGUGGAGUGGGUAGCCUCCGUAUUGAUUAAGAAGGGGACGGGCUCACCUUCCACUGUGAGAGUUACCCGAAGCUCGGCGUCCAUGAUGGUCUAGGGGGCUUCCGAGGCGAUCGGGCAGUGUCAGUCUUCAGCCGCUAAGCCGAGAAGGAGUCAGUCAGAGAGCCUUGGGCCAGAGUUCCAGGGACCCUGGGAGUGGCUGCCAGAGGAACUGAAGCCCAGAGAGGAGAAGCAACUUGCCCUACAUCACACAGCUUCUAAGUAGAGGAACCAGGAUUCAAACCGGACCUUCUGGCCCUUGACCGUGAGUUCUUCACCACUCUGCCCAGACUCUACUGUCUCUCACCAAACCCCAGGACAAG